CGAGAAAGCCCGCAAGGGUGAGUAAAGCGGCGCACGGGUGCGUAACACGUGGAUAAUCUGCCCUAGAGUCUGGAAUAACUCGCCGAAAGGGGUGCUAAUGCCGGAUGAGCCCACGGGGUCCUUGGACCCUGAGGGAAAAGGUGGCCUCUGUAUACAAGCUAUCACUUCAGGAUGAGCCCGCGGCCCAUCAGCUCGUUGGCGGGGUAAUGGCCCACCAAGGCUACGACGGGUAGCUGGUCUGAGAGGACGAUCAGCCACACUGGAACUGAGACACGGUCCAGACUCCUACGGGAGGCAGCAGUGGGGAAUCUUGCGCAAUGGGCGAAAGCCUGACGCAGCAACGCCGCGUGUGUGAUGAAGGUCUUCGGAUCGUAAAGCACUGUCGCGAGGGACG
RNAcentral lists this ribosomal RNA (394 nucleotides) under uncultured Anaeromyxobacter sp. RNAcentral's name for it is "bacterial SSU rRNA". It matches the Rfam family "Bacterial small subunit ribosomal RNA", at positions 67 to 447 of the family's 1533-position model. The record is from RNAcentral. Lineage: Bacteria; Pseudomonadati; Myxococcota; Myxococcia; Myxococcales; Anaeromyxobacteraceae.